Molecule: long non-coding RNA, 1002 nt
Organism: Corvus hawaiiensis (hawaiian crow)
Lineage: Eukaryota; Metazoa; Chordata; Aves; Passeriformes; Corvidae
Exons: 4
Source: RefSeq, a predicted model, not a curated record
UAAGGUCCCUUCCAACCCAAACCAUACCUGGUUUCUAUUAUUUUUCUGCUGUGAUUCUGGAAGUUAACUUCUGCAAAGCUGAGGAGAUUCCACACCACAGAUUCAAUUUUGAGCAAGGAGUUAAGCUUUAAACAUUUCUCUUGGCAUCCAGGAGAUGACAGAGUAGUACACAAACUGAGAUGUGCUUGACAAGCACAAAUAAUGGUCAUUUCAGUGAGGUUUGGCCUUGUGCUCUUCAUUUCCCAGAAUUAGGCCCUGAUAGUGGAGAGCUGGAGCGAAGAAAGACUGCACUGAAAGAAAUGCUCCAUCUGAAUUUAACAAAAGAUCUAUGGCCCAACUCCCUGCCCUAAAGGACCAGCAGGGGUCUGAUACUUGUUUCUACAAGGCCUUCUUCUGCUUCCUGUUUGCCUCAGCAAGAACAGCAGUGAGCUCCAUUUGUAUUUGGAAACUGCUUCACACUUACUCCGUCAGCAUUCAGAAGAGGGCCUGCUGUCGUUUCUCAAGAUGCACAACCCUCUGGAAAACAAUGGGCAAAGAAAUCCCUUUGGCCACACGUGCCUUCCCUUUGGAUGGCUGCAUAGGCCUGGUGCUGGAAUGGGGCUGGUGUUAGCUCAACUAUUCAGUCGACAAGGCUUAAGUGUUUCUUAUAAUUGUCUGAAUCGAGGAUGUGGUUACACCCCCAGCUUUCAGAAGGUUUUCUCCCAUCCAGAGCAGUCCAGGGUGAAAAAAAAUCUCUACAACCAAGCUGUUACAACACUCUGAUAUUCACCAUCAAAUCUUUGAUUCACAGCCUCAUCUGUAGAUAUGAAUUCAGAAGGGCAGAGAAGUAAAUAUAUUAAAGUUGUAGCCAGGCAGGGCAAUAUAUGAGAUAUCAAAAAAAUCUCUUUGAGUUGCAUUGAAAACCUUCCCCCUGAGCACCCUGCCACCACUGAGCACUGAUGUCCAAAAUCUCCCUCAGACCUAAAUGAUAACCUCAGAAAAUAAAGCUGUUAACAACAACAA